UUUUUAAAAACAUCGUUCUUUGUUAGUUCUAAUUUAAUAAAUAAAGAAUCGUACCUGCCCAGUGAAAUGUUUUAACGGCCGCAGUACCCUGACUGUGCUAAGGUAGCAUAAUCAUUUGCCUUUUAAUUGGAGGCUGGAAUGAAUGGUUUGACGAGAAUUUGACUGUCUCUAUUAUAUUACUUGGAAAUUAUCUUUUAGGUGAAGAUUCCUAAAUUUAAUAAAAAGACGAAAAGACCCUGUCGAGCUUUUAAACUUGUAUUAAAUUUGUUUAGUUGUGGUAUAACGAUAUUUUGGUUUAAGUUUUUUGUUGGGGUGACAGAAGAACAAAAAAAGCUUCUUUUAAUUUUUAAAACUUAUAGGUUUUAAUAAUCUAUUAUUAUUAAAUUAAGAUAAGUUACCGCAGGGAUAACAGCGUUAUUUUUCUGGAAAGUUCUAAUUGAAGGAAAAGAUUGCGACCUCGAUGUUGGAUUAGAAAACCGAAUAGGCGAAGAAGCUUAUUUGAGGAGGUCUGUUCGACCUAUAAUUUUCUACAUGAUCUGAGU
Molecule: ribosomal RNA, 542 nt
Filed under: Chaetopleura roddai
Lineage: Eukaryota; Metazoa; Mollusca; Polyplacophora; Chitonida; Chaetopleuridae
Description: partial large subunit ribosomal RNA
Rfam family: Bacterial large subunit ribosomal RNA
Source: RNAcentral